RNAcentral lists this non-coding RNA (104 nucleotides) under Macaca fascicularis (crab-eating macaque). RNAcentral's name for it is "Mitochondrial DNA control region secondary structure A". It matches the Rfam family "Mitochondrial DNA control region secondary structure A". RNAcentral also lists the same sequence under 2 other names. The record is from Rfam by way of RNAcentral. Lineage: Eukaryota; Metazoa; Chordata; Mammalia; Primates; Cercopithecidae.
GUAUUCUAUGGGGUGCAAGCUUUAAGUGCAACUUAAGUACUAAUUUAUUUAUCAGACCCUUAUGUAAUUUGUGCAUUACUGCUAGCCAACAUGAAUGUUAUAUA